This 361-nucleotide long non-coding RNA is filed under the name Heterocephalus glaber (naked mole-rat). RNAcentral's name for it is "lncRNA (ENSHGLG00000033551.1)". Lineage: Eukaryota; Metazoa; Chordata; Mammalia; Rodentia; Bathyergidae. The record is from RNAcentral.
CCCAGCUCGCCCUCCCCCACCUGCGGAAGGUCCAGGGCAACAUCAUCAACAUCUCCAGCUUGACUGGGGCCAUUGGCCAGUCCCAGGCAGUGCUCUACUCUGCCACCAAGAAAAAGUUUACAGGUUCACUGACUCCUGUGGCAGAAAAAGAAUUUUCAGGACUCGUCAGACAGGGAACAACAUUUCUGCUCCUCCAGAAGGGGCCAAAACCCUGGCCCACCCCCAGGAAGGGUACAGCCCACUCUCCAGGCACUUUAUGGACUUUCAGCUUCCUGAAGAAUUUGCUUGUCAGGUCUGGUGGAGGAAGGAGCCUAGGUUUAACCAAAGGAACACGGGUUUGGAUGGCCUUGGUGACCUUGGC